Long non-coding RNA from Carassius auratus (goldfish), 1152 nucleotides. RefSeq lists it as uncharacterized. The record is from RefSeq and is a predicted model, not a curated record. NCBI's taxonomy places the organism in Eukaryota, Metazoa, Chordata, Actinopteri, Cypriniformes, Cyprinidae. The transcript has 2 exons.
CAGACUGCUCUUGCUCGUCCCAGGACGGACAUCAGAGACGUCCACCAGCGGGCCGGUGGCCUGCGACAGAGACUGAUAGUGGACAGAGUGCGUGACGGUGGCCGACUUCUGUUUGGCAGUUUCUCCGAAAUCGUUAUCGAUAUAUGUUUAGGUUUGAAUAUGGUUCAGUGCAGGCGACUCACCCACUGUUUCCAUGGUGUCUCUCUCUUCGAUGAGCAGCUGCGCUCGGGGAAUGUCGAUGUGCAUGCGGAGGGUCUGCUGUUGUUUGUUAAUGGUAUCUGAAGGCCUUGUGUUCUUACUGGAGGAGAACACAAACAAGAUGGGGAAAACCUCUCGGCUUGUACAAGGUCAACAUGACACGUGAGCCAUCAAAGAAGCUUUCGUCUAAAUGGUUCCAUAAAGAACCUUUAACAUCUGAAUAACCUUUCGGUUUCACAAAAGGUUCUUCGAGGUGAAAGAAGGUUCUUCAGAUUAUAAAAAAGGUUUUGAUAAAGAAUGGUUUCUUUUCUCUGUGGAACACGGAAUAAGAAUUUAGAAGAACUUCCCAGCUGCAGUUUCUAUGUGAUGUAAGAAUAAAGGGCUGUCAAACUCAAAGGACAAGAGAGUCAUCAUCAAAGCAUCCUAAAUCCUUAAAAUCUUCUGGAGCACCAGCCUUUUGCGCUUUAUUCAUCACAUAAAUCGAAUUAUUAUAGAUUCAUUUCUCUAUAAUGUUCUUUAGAACUGUCUGUUAUAGUGAAUCUGUUCAAACACUGGUUCUAUUAUAUGUCUCAGUAGAUCUGCAAUAUAGUGAAGCGUAUGAAUCACUUGAUGAUUUGAUUCAUUUGUGCAUAAGAUUCUUUAAAAUUGUCUAUUAGAAUGUAUUUAUUCACUUAUAUUGUUAGAAUACCUGGAAUAAAGUACAUCAUUAUGAACUACUUAGGGAUUUUUAAUAAAAAUGCUUUAAUAGAAACACUGAUUACACUGUAAGGCUUUAUACAAUUUAUAAAUCGUAUGAAUGACUCGACGACUUUUUAAAAAAAAAGGCUGAUGGCACACUUGAUGAAUGGCAUACGAGUCAUGAAUGACUUUAUGAACACAAAAUGCUGAUAGAGUUUGAUUCAUUUGUGCAUGAUAUGCUUUGUAAACAUCCAUUAAAAUGAAUCUGUUAAUGAA